Molecule: ribosomal RNA, 379 nt
Filed under: uncultured archaeon
Lineage: Archaea
Description: bacterial SSU rRNA
Rfam family: Archaeal small subunit ribosomal RNA
Source: RNAcentral
AUUAUUGGGCCUAAGCAUCCGUAGCCGGCUCUGUAAGUCCUCGGUUAAAUCUGUACGCUUAACGUACAGGCUGCCGGGAAUACUGCAUAGCUAGGGAGUGGGAGAGGUAGACGGUACUCGGUAGGAAGGGGUAAAAUCCUUUGAUCUAUUGAUGACCACCUGUGGCGAAGGCGGUCUACCAGAACACGUCCGACGGUGAGGGAUGAAAGCUGGGGGAGCAAACCGGAUUAGAUACCCGGGUAGUCCCAGCUGUAAACUAUGCAAACUCAGUGAUGCAUUGGCUUGUGGCCAAUGCAGUGCUGCAGGGAAGCCGUUAAGUUUGCCGCCUGGGAAGUACGUACGCAAGUAUGAAACUUAAAGGAAUUGGCGGGGGAGCACA